This 468-nucleotide ribosomal RNA is filed under the name uncultured bacterium. RNAcentral's name for it is "partial 16S ribosomal RNA". It matches the Rfam family "Bacterial small subunit ribosomal RNA", at positions 28 to 507 of the family's 1533-position model. The record is from RNAcentral.
GACGAACGCUGGCGGCGUGCUUAACACAUGCAAGUCGAACGGAGAAGCGCUUCUUUUUUUGGUGGCUCGAGUGGCGAAGGGGUGGGGAACACGUGAGUAGCCUAACCUGUACUUUGGUAUUGGUUCACGAAACUGGAGCUAAUACCAUAUAGGAUCUCCUGCGUCAUUGGGAUGGUGGGACUGGUUCGGCGGUUGUGGAUGUACUGGCGGCUCAUCAGCUUGUUGGUGGGGUAGGGGCUGACCAGGGCUUCGACGGGUAGCCGGCCUGAGAGGGCGACCGGCCACACUGGGACUGAGACACGGCCCAGACUCCUACGGGAGGCAGCAGUGGGGAAUAUUGCACAAUGGGCGCAAGCCUGAUGCAGCGACGCCGCGUGAGGGAUGACGGCCUUCGGGUUGUAAACCGCUUUCGGCUGGGAAGAAGCGAGAGUGACGGUACCUGCAGAAGAAGCACCGGCUAACUACGUG